AGCUCCAAUCGCGUAUAUUAAAGUUGUUGCAGUUAAAAAGCUCGUAGUUGGAUUUCUGGUAGGAGCGACCGUGCCGAACUUGAUUGUUCGAGUAUUGUGUUGUCUUCAGCCAUCCUCGUGGAGGACUUUUCUAACAUUAACUUGUUGGGAUUGGGACCCGCGUCGUUUACUGUGAAAAAAUUAGAGUGUUUAAAGCAGGCAUUAGCUUGAAUACAUUAGCAUGGAAUAAUAAGAUAGGACUUUGGUACUAUUUUGUUGGUGUGCAUACCAAAUUAAUGAUCAACAGGAACAGUUUGAGGAUAUUCGUAUGAACAUGUCGGAGGUGAAAUUCUUGGAUUUUGAUCAGACGAACUACUGCGAAAGCAUUUAUCAAGGAUGUUU
RNAcentral lists this ribosomal RNA (381 nucleotides) under uncultured eukaryote. Its description in RNAcentral is "SSU rRNA". It matches the Rfam family "Eukaryotic small subunit ribosomal RNA", at positions 587 to 969 of the family's 1831-position model. The record is from RNAcentral.